GUGAGGAAUCUUCCACAAUGGGCGAAAGCCUGAUGGAGCAACGCCGCGUGAAGGAUGAAGGUCUUCGGAUUGUAAACUUCUUUUAUGAGUGAAGAAUAUGACGGUAACUCAUGAAUAAGCACCGGCUAACUACGUGCCAGCAGCCGCGGUCAUACGUAGGGUGCAAGCAUUAUCCGGAGUGACUGGGCGUAAAGAGUUGCGUAGGCGGUUAUGUAAGCGAAUAGUGAAACCUGGUGGCUCAACCACACAGACUAUUAUUCGAACUGCAUAACUCGGGAAUGGUAGAGGUAACUGGAAUUUCUUGUGUAGGAGUGAAAUCCGUAGAUAUAAGAAGGAACACCAAUGGCGUAGGCAGGUUACUGGGCCAUUUCUGACGCUAAGGCACGAAAGCGUGGGGAGCGAACCGGAUUAGAAACCCUUGUAGUCC
Molecule: ribosomal RNA, 427 nt
Filed under: uncultured bacterium
Lineage: Bacteria
Description: partial 16S ribosomal RNA
Rfam family: Bacterial small subunit ribosomal RNA
Source: RNAcentral